Molecule: ribosomal RNA, 429 nt
Filed under: Chloroflexota bacterium
Lineage: Bacteria; Bacillati; Chloroflexota
Description: Chloroflexi bacterium partial 16S ribosomal RNA
Rfam family: Bacterial small subunit ribosomal RNA
Source: RNAcentral
UGGGGAAUAUUGCACAAUGGGCGCAAGCCUGAUGCAGCCAUGCCGCGUGUGUGAAGAAGGCCUUCGGGUUGUAAAGCACUUUCAGCGGCGAGGAAGGCGAUAAGGUUAAUAACCUUGUCGAUUGACGUUACCCGCAGAAGAAGCACCGGCUAACUCCGUGCCAGCAGCCGCGGUAAUACGGAGGGUGCAAGCGUUAAUCGGAAUUACUGGGCGUAAAGCGCACGCAGGCGGUCUGUCAAGUCGGAUGUGAAAUCCCCGGGCUCAACCUGGGAACUGCAUUGGAAACUGGCAGGCUAGAGUCUUGUAGAGGGGGGUAGAAUUCCAGGUGUAGCGGUGAAAUGCGUAGAGAUCUGGAGGAAUACCGGUGGCGAAGGCGGCCCCCUGGACAAAGACUGACGCUCAGGUGCGAAAGCGUGGGGAGCAAACAGG